RNAcentral lists this ribosomal RNA (1425 nucleotides) under Triticum aestivum (bread wheat). RNAcentral describes it as "partial small subunit ribosomal RNA". Lineage: Eukaryota; Viridiplantae; Streptophyta; Magnoliopsida; Poales; Poaceae. The record is from RNAcentral.
AUGCAGCACAUUGACAAGAAACUUGCAUCUGAACUAGCAAAUGUAGACCUCAGCCAUGUUCGAACUUUGAUAGUAAUGCCAUCAUGUUGUGUCACACACUUGCCCAGUCUGGAUCGGUUUGAAGCUUUACGUGUUCUGGAUUUUGAAGAGUGUCGGGAUUUAAAGGACUAUGAUAUGGAAGGCAUGGACAAAUUAUUCCAGCUAAAGUACCUCAGCUUUAGGGGCACAGGUAUAUCAAAGCUACCAUCAGGGAUCAUGAUGCUAGGUAAUCUAGAGAUGCUGGAUCUUGGGAAUACAUCUGUGAGAGAAUUGCCUGCUGGAAUUACUCGGCUGACUGCACUACGACACCUAAUUGGAUUUCCGAACAAGCAGCUACAAAAUGGGAUUGGGGGCAUGAGGAACUUACAGUUGAUGCCCAAAUUUAUUAUUACCUCGCAAGAAACAGAUGUGUUGGAUGAUCUCGGGAACCUGGCAAGUUUGGAGGAACUCCAUGUGGAUCUCUGUGAUGAAGUAUCUUACGAGGACAAGGGAUUUGAAAAAGAGGCAUUUCUCUCCUCACUGUGCAAGCUUGGCACCUGCAAACUCCGUUCCUUGGAUACAUCAGCGUACAUUUGUUCCCUCGACUUCUUAGAUUCUUGGUCCCCUCCGCCAUCUUCUCUUCAAAGCUUUUUGGGGCCCAUGGUCAGUUCGUUCACAAAACUUCCAAAGUGGAUUACACCUGCACUCAUUAACCUUGCCAACCUGAACAUCUGCUUAAGUGAACUGACGGAAGAUGAGCUGCUUACGCUUGGGCAGCUCCCAUCCUUACUCCGCCUGGAACUACGGCCAUCAAAUAAGUUUGUUGGUACAGUCCAAGCCACUUCUUUCCCAAAUCUGAAGUUCUCCUAUGUGCUCCUCUGCUCUGUUCUUAUGCCGAGAAGAGGACGCACCUUGUGGCCGCUUUUAGGUGUUUCAUUCAGGACUGGUGGUACUAUUGCAUUGAUUUUUGCAUGGAAAAAUAACAUUGGAGCUGUGAGAUAUGAGGUUGGAGGAGGAAUCCAGCUCGACAUUCUCGGACACUUUAUCCAGUUUAUGUUCCACAAUACAACGAGAUCAAAGCUGGGCUGGGCCGCCUACCAAGUCUCAGCCGCACAGCUCCGACACAAAGAACAGCUUCCCCUGGGCUGGGCGACGUCGAACGUGAACCGGUACUCUGCUCUGCUCUUGGUAACUUCGAUCUUUCAGGGCAAGGGCAUGGCGCGCGUGUCCACACACACAGAGACCGAGCGAGGUCUUGUGCUGCUGACGCUCUCAACUUCUCAUACAAGCGAGAAAGCGGGGAAGGAGUGUGGAUUGCCCGUGAUCAUGCCCGGGGAUAACAUCGCAAAGUUCUACGCGAGGCCCUGCCCACACGGGACGUGUAUACCUGCUGCAGAUCCCCUGUGA